Molecule: ribosomal RNA, 497 nt
Filed under: uncultured bacterium
Lineage: Bacteria
Description: partial 16S ribosomal RNA
Rfam family: Bacterial small subunit ribosomal RNA
Source: RNAcentral
GAUGAACGCUGGCGGCGUGCCUAAUACAUGCAAGUCGAGCGAACGGACGAGAAGCUUGCUUCUCUGAUGUUAGCGGCGGACGGGUGAGUAACACGUGGAUAACCUACCUAUAAGACUGGGAUGACUUCGGGAAACCGGAGCUAAUACCGGAUAAUAUUUUGAACCGCAUGGUUCAAAAGUUAAAGACGGUCUUGCUGUCACUUAUAGAUGGAUCCGCGCUGCAUUAGCUAGUUGGUAAGGUAACGGCUUACCAAGGCAACGAUGCAUAGCCGACCUGAGAGGGGGAUCGGCCACACUGGAACUGAGACACGGUCCAGACUCCUACGGGAGGCAGCAGUAGGGAAUCUUCCGCAAUGGGCGAAAGCCUGACGGAGCAACGCCGCGUGAGUGAUGAAGGUCUUCGGAUCGUAAAACUCUGUUAUUAGGGAAGAACAUAUGUGUAAGUAACUGUGCACAUCUUGACGGUACCUAAUCAGAAAGCCACGGCUAACUACGUG